Molecule: long non-coding RNA, 878 nt
Organism: Pieris napi
Lineage: Eukaryota; Metazoa; Arthropoda; Insecta; Lepidoptera; Pieridae
Exons: 5
Source: RefSeq, a predicted model, not a curated record
UUUUUUCCACCAGAAGUGGCAACAGCCAACACCUCACACAAAAGGAAGAUUACCGAUACAGAUUCUUCACCUACAUUCUAGCAAAUCGUCAAUCAAAAGUCGCGCAGUUGUUAUUGUGACAACUCUUUAUUCCCGUUCGUAUUUGAGGUUACAAAUUACGUAUAAAACAAAAUUUUCCCUAAAUAUUUGGGUAAUAUUAUAAGGAAAAACGAUGUUAUAUUUAUUAAUAAUAUGAUAUAUUAAGCUAUUAUCACGUUAACAGUCAUACUGAGCUGACAAAUUUUGUGUCCUUCAAACCUGCAAAAAGGGCUAAAGAUGGACGUAUUGACAGUUGAAGCAAAGAACCUAUAUGUUGCGUCUUUUCAAAUAGCCUUCAAUAUUAUGAUAAUAGCUAAAAGUGGCGCAGAUAUUUAUCAGUAUUCAAAGUUCUAUCAACAUGCAAAUAGCGUAGGCCCUGGAUAUUAUCAUGAUCCAUCACAUUUAGAAAAAUUGAAUAGUAAAAUUAAUGUCAUUUACGCGGUCAAAGGUGUUCUUAUAGGCCUAACAGUGACAUAUCUUGUUUUUAAUGUGAUUUUGCUUAUUGGAUUAUGUAGGAAAAAGCGAACGUUGAUCAAAAUCUAUUUGUUUGCGGCACCAGCUUUUAUCAUUUCCCGUACGGCGUUGUAUGCAUUUGAACUCGUACUUAGUGCAAACGAUGCACUUGUUCAAAUGUUGAAUAUGAACUCAGCAUACAUCAUUCUGAUCAUUAUCUUUGUAUUACUCGACAUUAUGUUUUGUUUCAUCCAUGCCGUAGCAUAUUAUAAUACAUUGGAAAAUCACGAGAAUAUGCCACUUGGUAUCCACUAAUACAAAUUUUUAGAAUAAAUAAAUAUACAAAA